UACGAAGGGGGCUAGCGUUGUUCGGAAUCACUGGGCGUAAAGCGCACGUAGGCGGACUCUUAAGUCGGUGGUGAAAUCCUGGAGCUCAACUCCAGAACUGCCUUCGAUACUGAGAGUCUCGAGUCCGAGAGAGGUGAGUGGAACUGCGAGUGUAGAGGUGAAAUUCGUAGAUAUUAGCUAGAACACCAGUGGCGAAGGCGGCCAACUGGUCCGGAACUGACGCUGAGGUGCGAAAGCGUGGGGAGCAAACAGG
RNAcentral lists this ribosomal RNA (253 nucleotides) under uncultured bacterium. Its description in RNAcentral is "partial 16S ribosomal RNA". It matches the Rfam family "Bacterial small subunit ribosomal RNA", at positions 524 to 776 of the family's 1533-position model. The record is from RNAcentral.